GGUCUUAAGGUGUUAAACACAUUUAAUUGCAAAUUAAAAGUUACUAGGCACAACCCUAGUUAAGACUU
RNAcentral lists this transfer RNA (68 nucleotides) under Thelenota ananas. RNAcentral describes it as "tRNA-Cys". The record is from RNAcentral. Lineage: Eukaryota; Metazoa; Echinodermata; Holothuroidea; Aspidochirotida; Stichopodidae.